GAUGAACGCUGGCGGCGUGCCUAAUACAUGCAAGUCGAGCGAACGGACGAGAAGCUUGCUUCUCUGAUGUUAGCGGCGGACGGGUGAGUAACACGUGGAUAACCUACCUAUAAGACUGGGAUAACUUCGGGAAACCGGAGCUAAUACCGGAUAAUAUUUUGAACCGCAUGGUUCAAAAGUGAAAGACGGUCUUGCUGUCACUUAUAGAUGGAUCCGCGCUGCAUUAGCUAGUUGGUAAGGUAACGGCUUACCAAGGCAACGAUGCAUAGCCGACCUGAGAGGGUGAUCGGCCACACUAGAACUGAGACACGGUCCAGACUCCUACGGGAGGCAGCAGUAGGGAAUCUUCCGACAUGGGCGAAAACCUGACGGAGCAACGCCGCGUGAGUGAUGAAGGUCUUCGGAUCGUAAAACUCUGUUAUUAGGGAAGAACAUAUGUGUAAGUAACUGUGCACAUCUUGACGGUACCUAAUCAGAAAGCCACGGCUAACUACGUG
Molecule: ribosomal RNA, 497 nt
Filed under: uncultured bacterium
Lineage: Bacteria
Description: partial 16S ribosomal RNA
Rfam family: Bacterial small subunit ribosomal RNA
Source: RNAcentral